This 247-nucleotide ribosomal RNA is filed under the name uncultured bacterium. RNAcentral describes it as "partial small subunit ribosomal RNA". It matches the Rfam family "Bacterial small subunit ribosomal RNA", at positions 26 to 285 of the family's 1533-position model. The record is from RNAcentral.
AGAACGAACGCUGGCGGCAUGCCUAACACAUGCAAGUCGCACGAGAAAGGGGCUUCGGCUCUGGAGUAAAGUGGCGCACGGGUGAGUAACACGUGAAUUAUCUACCUCCGAGUGGGGAAUAACUGAGAGAAAUCUUAGCUAAUACCGCAUAACACUUACGAGUCAAAGCAGCAAUGCGCUUGGGAGAGGAAUUCGCGGCCGAUUAGUUAGUUGGCGGGGUAAUGGCCCACCAAGACGAUGAUCGGUA